RNAcentral lists this ribosomal RNA (245 nucleotides) under uncultured Oscillospiraceae bacterium. Its description in RNAcentral is "partial 16S ribosomal RNA". It matches the Rfam family "Bacterial small subunit ribosomal RNA", at positions 524 to 768 of the family's 1533-position model. The record is from RNAcentral. Lineage: Bacteria; Bacillati; Bacillota; Clostridia; Eubacteriales; Oscillospiraceae.
UACGUAGGUGGCGAGCGUUGUCCGGAAUUACUGGGUGUAAAGGGCGUGUAGGCGGGACGGUAAGUCAGAUGUGAAAUUCCGAAGCUUAACUUCGGCGCUGCAUCUGAAACUAUCGUUCUUGAGUGCUGGAGAGGAAAGCGGAAUUCCUAGUGUAGCGGUGAAAUGCGUAGAUAUUAGGAGGAACACCAGUGGCGAAGGCGGCUUUCUGGACAGUAACUGACGCUGAGGCGCGAAAGCGUGGGGAG